RNAcentral lists this ribosomal RNA (441 nucleotides) under uncultured Phenylobacterium sp. RNAcentral's name for it is "bacterial SSU rRNA". It matches the Rfam family "Bacterial small subunit ribosomal RNA", at positions 337 to 795 of the family's 1533-position model. Lineage: Bacteria; Pseudomonadati; Pseudomonadota; Alphaproteobacteria; Caulobacterales; Caulobacteraceae. The record is from RNAcentral.
CCCUACGGGUGGCAGCAGUAGGGAAUCUUGCGCAAUGGGCGAAAGCCUGACGCAGCCAUGCCGCGUGAAUGAUGAAGGUCUUAGGAUUGUAAAAUUCUUUCACCGGGGACGAUAAUGACGGUACCCGGAGAAGAAGCUCCGGCUAACUUCGUGCCAGCAGCCGCGGUAAUACGAAGGGGGCUAGCGUUGCUCGGAAUUACUGGGCGUAAAGGGCGCGUAGGCGGACAGUUUAGUCAGAGGUGAAAGCCCAGGGCUCAACCUUGGAAUAGCCUUUGAUACUGGCUGUCUUGAGUACGGGAGAGGUGUGUGGAACUCCGAGUGUAGAGGUGAAAUUCGUAGAUAUUCGGAAGAACACCAGUGGCGAAGGCGACACACUGGCCCGUUACUGACGCUGAGGCGCGAAAGCGUGGGGAGCAAACAGGAUUAGAUACCCCGGUAGUC